RNAcentral lists this ribosomal RNA (442 nucleotides) under uncultured bacterium. RNAcentral's name for it is "partial 16S ribosomal RNA". It matches the Rfam family "Bacterial small subunit ribosomal RNA", at positions 338 to 795 of the family's 1533-position model. The record is from RNAcentral.
CCUACGGGAGGCAGCAGUAGGGAAUCUUUCACAAUGGGCGAAAGCCUGAUGGAGCAACGCCGCGUGCAGGAUGAAGGCCUUCGGGUUGUAAACUGCUUUUAUAAGCGAGAAAUAUGAUGGUAACUUAUGAAUAAGGAUCGGCUAACUACGUGCCAGCAGCCGCGGUCAUACGUAGGAUCCGAGCAUUAUCCGGAGUGACUGGGUGUAAAGAGUUGCGUAGGUGGCAUAAUAAGUAGCUAGUGAAAUCUGGUGGCUCAACCAUUCAGACUAUUAGCUAAACUGUUAAGCUCGAGACCGUUAGAGGUAACUGGAAUUUCUAGUGUAGGAGUGAAAUCCGUAGAUAUUAGAAGGAACACCAAUAGCGUAGGCAGGUUGCUGGGACAGUUCUGACACUAAGGCGCGAAAGCGUAGGGAGCAAACGGGAUUAGAUACCCGGGUAGUC